UACGUAGGGUGCAAGCGUUGUCCGGAAUUAUUGGGCGUAAGGAGCUCGUAGGCGGUUUGUUGCGUCGGCUGUGAAAUCCCGAGGCUCAACCUCGGGUCUGCAGUCGAUACGAGCAAACUAGAGUGUUGCAGGGGAGACUGGAAUUCUUGGUGUAGCGGUGAAAUGCGUAGAUAUCAAGAGGAACACCUGAGGCGAAGGCGGGUUGCUAGGCUGAUACUGACGCUGAGGCGCGAAAGCUAGGGUAGCAAACGGG
RNAcentral lists this ribosomal RNA (253 nucleotides) under uncultured bacterium. RNAcentral describes it as "partial 16S ribosomal RNA". It matches the Rfam family "Bacterial small subunit ribosomal RNA", at positions 524 to 776 of the family's 1533-position model. The record is from RNAcentral.